This is a long non-coding RNA of Epinephelus moara (kelp grouper), 1008 nucleotides long. RefSeq lists it as uncharacterized. Lineage: Eukaryota; Metazoa; Chordata; Actinopteri; Perciformes; Serranidae. The record is from RefSeq and is a predicted model, not a curated record. The transcript is spliced from 2 exons.
GCCCACUUGAUGGCGAUAAUGCUCCUUUACGUGGGUGUCGCCAACCGGCAGGAAACCAUUGCAAUGUAAUGGAACACAGAAAAGAAGCAGAAGAAGAAGGUUGGCGUUGUGUUCAAAGACAUCGUACUGCGAAGGUUCUUUACAAGAGAGUAAUCCACAGCACUGUUGAGCCAGCACUUUCACUGAGCUAAAAGACUACAAUGACUACAGCCUUGUCCUGAACAACCCCCUUUCUGUUUCCGGUGGCGGAUUACUACCAACAGACAAUGAGGCUUCUAUAGAAAAGCAGUGGAUGAGACAAAAUGUCAAAUAAAUCGUCACGGAAACCACAGUUUGCUACGAUUUUUAUGUCAGAACAUCAGCGAACACCACUGACCACUCCGUGAGUUUCAAGGCUUUGAAAACAAACGUUUAGAGUGGUUUUAGGACAGAUUCACACAUGGCCAUAGGCAGCAGUGUUAAAGGUCAUAUGUAUAGCUGUUUCUUCAAAACGAAUAUUUUUUCAAAAAUAAUACAUCCACAGAACGUCUAGAAAGGCUUGCCAGAUUGUGAUAGCUGCAGAGGAAUGGCGUCAUCCCAGCGCUAUCCGUCGCAAAUUCUAGCCAAGCAACGGAGAAGUCAAAAUCAGAAUCAACAUCAGUUCAGGUUUUGAUCGUUGGUGUCAGCUGAAGGCAGAAAAAGGGCUAAAAAGCCACGCAGAGGUUACCGCUUUCCUUCUGGACAGGCGGAAGUGUCGCGCCCUCCUCCACCCCAUUCACCUCCAGUCACCUGAUCCAGAGCCCAGGACAAGCUCAUCAAAAGCCCACUCCUCUUCACAUCCAGAUCCUCAGCUCCCUCUUCAUCUUAUCACCACCACCAGCAUCUAGACUCCAUCGGGGGGGGGGUCCUUACUACGUCUCUACAACCCUUCUGGAAUAGAUGACAUCACGAUGGGGUCUAAUCGCCAAAGACUUUUCAGAUUUCUCAUACUUAGGUGUACAUGUAAAUAAAUAUUCUUUUCUCUCAGAG